Molecule: ribosomal RNA, 253 nt
Filed under: uncultured bacterium
Lineage: Bacteria
Description: partial 16S ribosomal RNA
Rfam family: Bacterial small subunit ribosomal RNA
Source: RNAcentral
UACGUAGGUUGCAAGCGUUAUCCGGAAUUAUUGGGCGUAAAGAGCGCGCAGGUGGUUGAUUAAGUCUGAUGUAAAAGCCCACGGCUUAACCGUGGAGGGUCAUUGGAAACUGGUCAACUUGAGUGCAGAAGAGGGAAGUGGAAUUCCAUGUGUAGCGGUGAAAUGCGUAGAGAUAUGGAGGAACACCAGUGGCGAAGGCGGCUUCCUGGUCUGUAACUGACACUGAGGCGCGAAAGCGUGGGGAGCAAACUGG